AACAAGGACUUUAUCUACCAAAAUGGCUAGCCUUGAUUCAGGCUACUCCUCUGCUUGGAAGGCAAAAUACAUCGGCAGAGAAGUGAAAGGAGAAAUUAAACCCAGCAGGAACACAGAAUGUGACACUUACCUUUUCUGAUUUUGUAAGGGGUGGAAGAUAUCAAGCAGUAACGAGGUGAAUUCCCCAGCAGGUACAACGGAGCAACAAUCCGCAGCGCGCGGAAGACGAGGGUGUGCUCUUUAGCCUGGUUGUACAACUGUUACGAGAAAGUUCCUUUUUCGAAUCGGGGAAUUAACUGACGUUUCUUGGGAAGACACUGAAUGCAGACAAAUGCAAUGAAAUUAACCUCUCCUUCCAAGAACAGCAUGCAGGCAGCUAGCUGGAAAGACUCACACUUGAGUGAAUAGCGACAGCUCGCCCCUUCUGCGCUUUGACGCUGCUGUCUC
Molecule: long non-coding RNA, 447 nt
Filed under: Homo sapiens (human)
Lineage: Eukaryota; Metazoa; Chordata; Mammalia; Primates; Hominidae
Description: non-protein coding lnc-RANBP3L-5:2
Source: RNAcentral